CAGCAAGAACUUUUUCUUUAAAUUUAUUAAAAAGAGAGUUCCACCACGUCCCCAACCUCCCUCCUCUACUGCUACUUCGGUCAGUGGGAACUCAAGUUUUAACAGCCCAUCAGCUUCAUUAUACCCGUAUUC
Pelmatolapia mariae (spotted tilapia) is the source of this 132-nucleotide long non-coding RNA. RefSeq lists it as uncharacterized. Lineage: Eukaryota; Metazoa; Chordata; Actinopteri; Cichliformes; Cichlidae. The record is from RefSeq and is a predicted model, not a curated record. The transcript is spliced from 3 exons.